Long non-coding RNA from Aedes aegypti (yellow fever mosquito), 295 nucleotides. RefSeq lists it as uncharacterized. The transcript is spliced from 3 exons. Lineage: Eukaryota; Metazoa; Arthropoda; Insecta; Diptera; Culicidae. The record is from RefSeq and is a predicted model, not a curated record.
GUAGGACAAUGAUCGGCAACCCUGCCGUCAGGAUGUAAAUACGCCCGUCUAUACUUUAUAGACUAGAUAUACUUCAGUUGCUUGUCAUAUCAUUCUACUUGUCAUCUUCUAAAGAAAGCAUUGAUCGAACAACAUUGUUAUAAAGAUUUCCCUGAAUUUAUUACUUUAUUUUUAUAAAUAGUUGCAUCCUGAAAAUCACUAAAGAACCCGACCUACGUGGCGGAACAGCGGAUUGAAUUUAUUGGCCAAUUAGCUUGCAAGGCCCACUGAAAUAUUUUGAAGCGGAAUAUACGAC